This 787-nucleotide ribosomal RNA is filed under the name uncultured bacterium. Its description in RNAcentral is "bacterial SSU rRNA". It matches the Rfam family "Bacterial small subunit ribosomal RNA", at positions 32 to 813 of the family's 1533-position model. The record is from RNAcentral.
UGCGCUGGCGGCGUGCCUAACACAUGCAAGUCGAGCGGUAACAGGUGUAGCAAUACAUGCUGACAGCGGCGAACGGGUGAGUAAUGUUUCGGAAUCUGCCCAAUGGUGGGGAAUAACCAGCCGAAAGGUUGGCUAAUACCGCAUAAGUCCUACGGGAGAAAGCGGGGGAUCGCAAGACCUCGCGCCGAUGGAUGAGCCGAAACCGGAUUAGCUAGUUGGUAGGGUAACGGCCUACCAAGGCGACGAUCCGUAGCUGGUCUGAGAGGACGACCAGCCACACUGGGACUGAGACACGGCCCAGACUCCUACGGGAGGCAGCAGUGGGGAAUAUUGGACAAUGGGGGAAACCCUGAUCCAGCGACGCCUCGUGUGUGAAGAAGGCCUGCGGGUUGUAAAGCACUUUUAGUGGGGAUGAAAAGCACAGGGCUAACACCUCUGUGUCUUGACCUAACCCAAAGAAAAAGCACCGGCUAACUCUGUGCCAGCAGCCGCGGUAAUACAGAGGGUGCAAGCGUUAAUCGGAAUUACUGGGCGUAAAGCGUGCGUAGACGGUUAUGUAAGUCGGGUGUGAAAGCCCCGGGCUCAACCUGGGAAUUGCAUUCGAGACUGCAUAGCUGGGGUGCGGAAGAGGGAAGCGGAAUUUCCGGUGUAGCGGUGAAAUGCGUAAAUAUCGGAAGGAACACCAGUGGCAAAAGCGGCUUCCUGGUCCAGCACCGACGUUCAGGCACGAAAGCGUGGGGAGCAAACAGUUUUAGAUACCCUGGUAGUCCACGCCAUAAACGAUGAG